Molecule: small RNA, 126 nt
Filed under: Marmota monax (woodchuck)
Lineage: Eukaryota; Metazoa; Chordata; Mammalia; Rodentia; Sciuridae
Source: RNAcentral
GCUGGGCAUGGUGGCGCAUACCUGUAAUCCCAGCAACUCAGGAGGCUGAGGCAGGAGGACUGUGAGUUCAAAGCCAGCCUCAGCAAUUUAGUGAGGCCUAAGCAACUUAUCGAGACCCUGUCUCAA